Molecule: signal recognition particle RNA, 95 nt
Filed under: Deltaproteobacteria bacterium
Lineage: Bacteria; Pseudomonadati; Myxococcota; Myxococcia
Description: signal recognition particle sRNA small type
Rfam family: Bacterial small signal recognition particle RNA
About the family: The signal recognition particle (SRP) is a universally conserved ribonucleoprotein involved in the co-translational targeting of proteins to membranes. Archaeal SRP consists of a 7S RNA and homologues of the eukaryotic SRP19 and SRP54 proteins.
Source: RNAcentral
GGUCGGGGCCCGGAGACCGGAGCCCGUGAACCCCGCCAGGUCCGAGAGGAAGCAACGGUAGCGUCCGUUUCGGGGCUCCGGUGUCCCCGGCUCUC